GCAGUCGAGUGAUUUACUUCGGUAAAGAGCGGCGGACGGGUGAGUACCGUGUGGGUAACCUGCCCUAUACACACGGAUAACGUACCGAAAGGUACGCUAAUACGAGAUAACAUAUUUUUAUCGCAUGGUAAGAAUAUCAAAGCUCCGGCGGUAUAGGAUGGACCCGCGUCUGAUUAGCUAGUUGGUAAGGUAACGGCUUACCAAGGCGACGAUCAGUAGCCGACCUGAGAGGGUGAUCGGCCACAUUGGAACUGAGACACGGUCCAAACUCCUACGGGAGGCAGCAGUGGGGAAUAUUGCACAAUGGGCGAAAGCCUGAUGCAGCAACGCCGCGUGAGCGAUGAAGGCCUUCGGGUCGUAAAGCUCUGUCCUCAAGGAAGAUAAUGACGGUACUUGAGGAGGAAGCCCCGGCUAACUACGUGCCAGCAGCCGCGGUAAUACGUAGGGGGCUAGCGUUAUCCGGAAUUACUGGGCGUAAAGGGUGCGUAGGUGGUUUCUUAAGUCAGAGGUGAAAGGCUACGGCUCAACCGUAGUAAGCCUUUGAAACUGAGAAACUUGAGUGCAGGAGAGGAGAGUAGAAUUCCUAGUGUAGCGGUGAAAUGCGUAGAUAUUAGGAGGAAUACCAGUUGCGAAGGCGGCUCUCUGGACUGUAACUGACACUGAGGCACGAAAGCGUGGGGAGCAAACAGGAUUAGAUACCCUGGUAGUCCACGCCGUAAACGAUGAGUACUAGCUGUCGGAGGUUACCCCCUUCGGUGGC
This 760-nucleotide ribosomal RNA is filed under the name uncultured bacterium. Its description in RNAcentral is "bacterial SSU rRNA". It matches the Rfam family "Bacterial small subunit ribosomal RNA", at positions 57 to 847 of the family's 1533-position model. The record is from RNAcentral.